Molecule: unclassified non-coding RNA, 93 nt
Filed under: Salipaludibacillus aurantiacus
Lineage: Bacteria; Bacillati; Bacillota; Bacilli; Caryophanales; Bacillaceae
Description: microRNA mir-598
Source: RNAcentral
UCAUGAUCGUGAUCAUGACCGUGAUCAUCAUUAUGGUCAUGGUUGUCGUCAUUAUCUUCAUGACCGUGAUCAUCAUUAUGGUCAUGGUUAUGG